RNAcentral lists this unclassified non-coding RNA (436 nucleotides) under Hevea brasiliensis (rubber tree). Lineage: Eukaryota; Viridiplantae; Streptophyta; Magnoliopsida; Malpighiales; Euphorbiaceae. The record is from RNAcentral.
GCGCAGUCCAGCUGUGUUGCUUCUCAUGCUUCUUCUUGUUGCAUCUGAGAUUGGGACGACUCCAGUGGAGGCAAGGACUUGCGAGUCACAGAGCCACAAGUUCAGGGGUCCAUGUAUAAGGGCCAGCAAUUGCGCCAACGUCUGCAGGACUGAGGGCUUCUCCGGCGGGCACUGCCGUGGACUCCGGCGCCGAUGCUUCUGCACCACACACUGCUAGAUAUCUGGCAGGAUCGGCGAUUAUGAAGAGCAUGUUGGUUCUUCCAACUUGGUGUGCUUUCUACGAAUAAAAUGUAGCCUUUGUGUGGAUUACUGAAGGCUAGUUGUGCUUAAUUUUCUGUGUUUUCUAAUUUAUAUGCUGUUUAUGCUGUCCAUUAUGUAACAAUUGUAUUUCAGUUGAUUGAGUAAAAGCAAGAGAAAUAUGUUUAAUAAUUGGCCA